Molecule: ribosomal RNA, 447 nt
Filed under: uncultured bacterium
Lineage: Bacteria
Description: bacterial SSU rRNA
Rfam family: Bacterial small subunit ribosomal RNA
Source: RNAcentral
CUCGUAGACUCCUACGGGAGGCAGCAGUGGGGAAUCUUGGACAAUGGGCGCAAGCCUGAUCCAGCCAUGCCGCGUGAGUGAUGAAGGCCUUAGGGUCGUAAAGCUCUUUCGCCAGGGAUGAUAAUGACAGUACCUGGUAAAGAAACCCCGGCUAACUCCGUGCCAGCAGCCGCGGUAAUACGGAGGGGGUUAGCGUUAAUCGGAAUUACUGGGCGUAAAGCGCAUGCAGGUGGUUUGUUAAGUCAGAUGUGAAAGCCCGGGGCUCAACCUCGGAAUUGCAUUUGAAACUGGCAGACUAGAGUACUGUAGAGGGGGUAGAAUUUCAGGUGUAGCGGUGAAAUGCGUAGAGAUCUGAAGGAAUACCGGUGGCGAAGGCGGCCCCCUGGACAGAUACUGACACUCAGAUGCGAAAGCGUGGGGAGCAAACAGGAUUAGAUACCCUGGUAG